ACAAAAGUUCACUUUUCGGCGAACUGCCAUCUUCCAGUAAUUCACCAAAAUGACAAACACAAAGGGCAAGAGGAGAGGCACUCGAUCUAUGUUCUCCAGGCCUUUUAGAAAACGUGGAGUUGUUCCUUUGGCCACAUAUAUAUGAAUCUAUAAGAAAGGUGAUACUGUAGACAUCAAGGGAAUGGGUACUGUUCAAAAAGGAAGCCCUGCAAGUGUUACCAUGGCAAAACUGGAAGAGUCUACAGUGUUACCCAGCAUGCUGUUGGCAUUGUUGUAAACAAACAAGUUAAGAUUCUUGCCAAGAGAAUUAAAGUGCGUAUUGAGCAUAUCAAGCACUCUAAGAGCUGAGAUAGCUUACUGAAACUCGUGAAGGAAAAUGAUCAGAAAAAGAAGCCAAAGAGAAAGGUACCUGUGUUCAACUGAAGCACCAGCCUGCCCCACCCAGAGAAACACACUUUGUGAGAACCAAUGGGAAGAAGCCUGAGCUGCUAGAACUUAUUCACUAUGAAUUCAUGGCAUAAUAGGUGUUAAAAAACAAGAAACAAACAAAAAACCUCUGGACU
This is a long non-coding RNA of Sapajus apella (tufted capuchin), 563 nucleotides long. RefSeq lists it as uncharacterized. Lineage: Eukaryota; Metazoa; Chordata; Mammalia; Primates; Cebidae. The transcript is spliced from 2 exons. The record is from RefSeq and is a predicted model, not a curated record.